GACGAACGCUGGCGGCGUGCUUAACACAUGCAAGUCGAACGGAAAGGCCCUGCUUUUGUGGGUUGCUCGAGUGGCGAACGGGUGAGUAACACGUGAGUAACCUCCCCUUGACUUUGUGAUAACUUCAGGAAACUGGGGCUAAUACCGGAUAGGAGCUCCUGCUGCAUGUUGGGGGUUGGAAAGUUUCGGCGGUUGGGGAUGGACUCGCGGCUUAUCAGCUUGUUGGUGGGGUAGUUGCUUACCAAGGCUGUGACGGGUAGCCGGCCUGAGUGGGUGACCGGGCACAUUGGGACUGAGAGACGGCCCAGACUCCUACGGGAGGCAGCAGUGGAGAAUAUUGCACAAUGGGCGGAAGCCUGAUGCAGCAACGCCGGGUGCGGGAUGACGGCCUUCGGGGUGUAAACCGAUUUCGCCGGUGACGAAGAGUGAGUGACGGUAAUGGGUAAAGAAGCACCGGCUAACUACGUG
This 468-nucleotide ribosomal RNA is filed under the name uncultured bacterium. RNAcentral's name for it is "partial 16S ribosomal RNA". It matches the Rfam family "Bacterial small subunit ribosomal RNA", at positions 28 to 507 of the family's 1533-position model. The record is from RNAcentral.